This 140-nucleotide ribosomal RNA is filed under the name uncultured bacterium. Its description in RNAcentral is "partial 16S ribosomal RNA". It matches the Rfam family "Bacterial small subunit ribosomal RNA", at positions 355 to 507 of the family's 1533-position model. The record is from RNAcentral.
UGGGGAAUAUUGCACAAUGGGCGCAAGCCUGAUGCAGCGACGCCGCGUGAGGGAUGACGGCCUUCGGGUUGUAAACCUCUUUCGCCAGGGACGAAGCGCAAGUGACGGUACCUGGAGAAGAAGCACCGGCCAACUACGUG